AAGUCGUAACAAGGUUUCCGUAGGUGAACCUGCGGAAGGAUCAUUACCAAAACAUAGCUGUCCGGCCGCAAGGCUCCGACGCUGCAACCCUUUGUGAACCAAAAAAACCUUUCGCUUCGGCAGCAGGGAGCUUUUCGCACCGCGAGCCUCCCGUGAGCCUGCCGCUGGCACCAAUCCAAAACCUGUCGUAAAAACCAUGUCUGAUAACCAAAUUUUCGAAUGAAAAUCAAAACUUUCAACAACGGAUCUCUUGGUUCCC
Molecule: unclassified non-coding RNA, 259 nt
Filed under: Dactylellina gephyropaga
Lineage: Eukaryota; Fungi; Ascomycota; Orbiliomycetes; Orbiliales; Orbiliaceae
Description: partial internal transcribed spacer region
Rfam family: Eukaryotic small subunit ribosomal RNA (bases 1-46)
Source: RNAcentral